RNAcentral lists this ribosomal RNA (346 nucleotides) under uncultured bacterium. Its description in RNAcentral is "partial 16S ribosomal RNA". It matches the Rfam family "Bacterial small subunit ribosomal RNA", at positions 338 to 676 of the family's 1533-position model. The record is from RNAcentral.
CCUACGGGAGGCUGCAGUGGGGAAUAUUGCGCAAUGGGCGAAAGCCUGACGCAGCGAAGCCGCGUGAGGGAUGAAGGUCUUCGGAUCGGAAACCUCUGUCAGCAGGGAAGAACGGUCACUGUGCUAAUCAGCCGUGAAUUGACGGUACCUGCAAAGGAAGCACCGGCUAACUCCGUGCCAGCAGCCGCGGUAAUACGGAGGGUGCGAGCGUUAAUCGGAAUUACUGGGCGUAACGCGCGCGUAGGCGGGAUGGCAAGUCAAGGGUGAAAUCCCCGCGCUCAACGUGGGAACUGCCUUUGAAACUGGCAAACUGGAGUGUGUGAGAGGCUAGUGGAAUUCCCGGUGU